This is a non-coding RNA of Physcomitrium patens, 831 nucleotides long. The record is from RefSeq and is a predicted model, not a curated record. NCBI's taxonomy places the organism in Eukaryota, Viridiplantae, Streptophyta, Bryopsida, Funariales, Funariaceae.
UCGCUUUAUUCUCUCUCUCUCUCUCUCGUCGAGAACUUGGGAGGCGAUGUCGCUGAAGGUUUUUCUCCAUCCCCGCUUCGAGCUCAUUACCUCCUCUAUCUGCUGAUUGAGAAUUUCUUAUAACUUCAUAUGUGCUUCACACGUCCAUCCAUGGCGAGGUAGCGCAGAUUGUUGUUUUUUUGGUGUUUUCGGAGCUUGCGGGAGAGAUCCGUGAGGACUUCGAGAGGUGCAGGUGGUUUUCUCUCCAGAAUGUUUCUUAUAAUUUCAUGUGUUCUGAUCCAGUGGUCAUCCGUGUAAAGAACAGCCAACGCAUCCCAUGCAUGAUGCAUGGGAUUAAGGGACAUGACGGACGUAAGGGAUUCUCGACUGAAAGAGGAAACCAGAGUCCGUCAGAAUUCGAAUCGCCCUGGGCCUCACGAGGCUGGUGCAUUAUGUGCCGUAUUUUCAAGGAGAGGCUUCACCGUGUCUGAACUUAUCCUGGGAUCUCGACACCUUAAACUCCACUUCGAGGCUCUUGUGGUUCUUAAUUCGAUUGGUGUUAGAAACUAGGGAGUUUUCAAGUUGGAACGAAACUUUUUCGUUAGAAUUUGUUGUGUUUCAAUCCGUCUUUUCAGAGUGUCUCGACACUGCGACAGAGAAAUUAAUUUUACAGAGUUCAAGUAGGUUUCGCCCACUGUCACAAGAUGAAGUGUGACAUUGUGUAGCUCCUUUUACAUAUCAAUGUCCUCAAGCACAUGCAGCCUUCCAAGCUGUUCACCAGGUCUUCCAUCUGAUGCUGGAAGUAGUGCCAUGGAUCCGUAGAAAUAAUCUAUUGUUGCUCUUUCCUUCUAA